This 652-nucleotide transfer RNA is filed under the name Mesorhizobium sp. RNAcentral's name for it is "partial 16S-23S ribosomal RNA intergenic spacer". The stretch from base 123 to 196 matches the Rfam family "tRNA". Lineage: Bacteria; Pseudomonadati; Pseudomonadota; Alphaproteobacteria; Hyphomicrobiales; Phyllobacteriaceae. The record is from RNAcentral.
GCGCUCGCGCGCCGUACCGGCCUUCGGCCUGGCGCUCCGCGAGGGCGCGGCACGAGCCGCGACGGCCGGUCGGCCUUGCGAGGCUCUGCCUCGAAACUGACUGCCAUCUGCGCUUGGGCUAAGGGCUUGUAGCUCAGUUGGUUAGAGCGCGCGCUUGAUAAGCGUGAGGUCGGAGGUUCAAGUCCUCCCAGGCCCACCAUCAACAGUGCAACCCGAAGGGUUGUCACUGCCGGUCGAUGCGAUCGGGAUACUAUCAGGGGCCGUAGCUCAGCUGGGAGAGCGCCUGCUUUGCAAGCAGGAUGUCGUCGGUUCGAUCCCGUCCGGCUCCACCAACACGCGAUCCGCAGGAUCGUCGUGUCGCGCAAUCCGCAGGAUUGUCGCUUCAGCCGCCGCGUUGCGGUUUGGCGAUAGCGCGAUCCGCAAGAUCGUGCUUGGGUGUAGAGAUGGUGAGAAAAGUCAUUCGAUAAAGAGUUUGCGUCGAGCUUCGUGCUCUGCGCCUGUUCUGUUUGACAUCGUAAAGAGAAGAUUUGUUCGAACUUCAUGGCUGCAAAGCUGUGAUUUGUCGCAAGGGACGCUCAAUCCCUUGCCUAUGAUGGGUUUGCCUAACCGCGCCCUCGAACGGAUCUCGAGAAGCUGGUCUUUUUGUGCCAAU